GGGGGAGCCACAGAGCGCGGCCCUGCCCUGGCGCAGGCACUGAGGCCGGGCGCGGCCCUGAGCAGCGGACCGAGGGACGAGAAGGGAACCCCGGCUACGUGUCCACGAAGCUCCCGUGCCAUGAAACCGGUUGGCAAGCUUCCACUGAGCUUCACAUAAGCUUCGCGUCGAAGGCAGCCACUGAGCACCUGUGCCUGCUGCUGCGACACUUCACGCCACACUUCACGAGCUCCUUCCGGUCCACGCACACGUGUGUCUCCUCCACGGAAUCAGACUGACCCGUGUCCUGCCAAACCCCAAGCCCUCUACCUCUGAAUCACAGAGCCAGGCACUCGAUCCGGGAGUUUACACUCAGUCAUCUCUCUGUGGCCCCAACCAGCCGCAUGAGGGCUUUCCUGGACCCUGCACGCUCCCGAAAUCUCCUUCCCCCAACCCCGUCCCCUGGCCUGUCGCUCCCUGAGAAUGAGAGCUGUUCGCGACUUCGGUGGGAACACUGGU
Long non-coding RNA from Myotis daubentonii (Daubenton's bat), 498 nucleotides. RefSeq lists it as uncharacterized. NCBI's taxonomy places the organism in Eukaryota, Metazoa, Chordata, Mammalia, Chiroptera, Vespertilionidae. The record is from RefSeq and is a predicted model, not a curated record.